GAUGAACGCUGGCGGCGUGCCUAAUACAUGCAAGUCGAGCGAACGGACGAGAAGCUUGCUUCUCUGAUGUUAGCGGUGGACGGGUGAGUAACACGUGGAUAACCUACCUAUAAGACUGGGAUAACUUCGGGAAACCGGAGCUAAUACCGGAUGAUAUUUUGAACCGCAUGGUUCAAAAGUGAAAGACGGUCUUGCUGUCACUUAUAGAUGGAUCCGCGCUGCAUUAGCUAGUUGGUAAGUUAACGGCUUACCAAGGCAACGAUGCAUAGCCGACCUGAGAGGGUGAUCGGCCACACUGGAACUGAGACACGGUCCAGACUCCUACGGGAGGCAGCAGUAGGGAAUCUUCCGCAAUGGGCGAAAGCCUGACGGAGCAACGCCGCGUGAGUGAUGAAGGUCUUCGGAUCGUAAAACUCUGUUAUUAGGGAAGAACAUAUGUGUAAGUAACUGUGCACAUCUUGACGGUACCUAAUCAGAAAGCCACGGCUAACUACGUG
RNAcentral lists this ribosomal RNA (497 nucleotides) under uncultured bacterium. Its description in RNAcentral is "partial 16S ribosomal RNA". It matches the Rfam family "Bacterial small subunit ribosomal RNA", at positions 28 to 507 of the family's 1533-position model. The record is from RNAcentral.